This 62-nucleotide microRNA precursor is filed under the name Monodelphis domestica (gray short-tailed opossum). RNAcentral's name for it is "microRNA mdo-mir-12331 precursor". Lineage: Eukaryota; Metazoa; Chordata; Mammalia; Didelphimorphia; Didelphidae. The record is from miRBase by way of RNAcentral.
AAUCUUCCUUUGUCUACUUUAAGUUCCUGAUUGACUAACUUAAAAUAGACAAAGUGAGAGUU